Scylla paramamosain (green mud crab) is the source of this 647-nucleotide long non-coding RNA. RefSeq lists it as uncharacterized. The transcript is spliced from 3 exons. NCBI's taxonomy places the organism in Eukaryota, Metazoa, Arthropoda, Malacostraca, Decapoda, Portunidae. The record is from RefSeq and is a predicted model, not a curated record.
AUUAGCUGGGUGUCAUGGCUGGCAAAGACCUGCGCAUCUUAGAAUUGGAAAGAAAUACGAUAUUGCUGGUGGAAACACUGUGACGCAAGCACGUAGGACCGCGGCGGCAACAGCUGGUGGACUCUCCCGCGCCCCCAUCACGCCGACACCAUGCAGCCUCACGAGUCUGGAGUUGAGGAAGCAAUGUGGCGGACUGUCACUACGAUGUCUGCGCCUGGCCGCCCAUCCCGGUCGAGGGGCCAGAGCGCUAUUCCCUGUCUGUUUUCCUUCCAUUAACCAAAGUCGAGUUUCAAGCAGCAUCGACCUUCCCUCUGCCGCCGCCCUUUCGAGUGUAUCUGGGGCGGAUCCAAAUGCUGCCCAUUCUCCAGGUCGUCAUCUUGGGUUAAAGUUCCAUUGUUAUAAAAGGAAGAGUUGGUCCGUGACUUUGAGCUCCCUUAGUCUUCAGCAUGAGUGUUUUCUUGGCUUUGUUUUGGUUAUGUUAGCUUUGUGUGAUGUGAUGUAACUCUUGCAGUUCGUCCGUAGUGUCCAUAACUCUGGCUUCUUUCAUUUUGAGCUUGUUUUUAUGUGCACGGCAAAAGUUUUCAUGCGAUUAUGUUAACUUAGUGUGAAUCGAUGUAAUUGUUGAUUGAAAUGAAAGGCUCACUCGG